GGCUCGGUGGGCCUAGUCUGACUCAGCACGCCGCGUGAGUGAGAAGGUUUUCGGAUCGUAAACUCUGUUGUUAGAGAAGAACAAGGAUGAGAGUAACUGUUCAUCCCUUGACGGUAUCUAACCAGAAAGCCACGGCUAACUACCUGCCAGCAGCCGCGGUAAUACGUAGGUGGCAAGCGUUGUCCGGAUUUAUUGGGCGUAAAGCGAGCGCAGGCGGUUUCUUAAGUCUGAUGUGAAAGCCCCCGGCUCAACCGGGGAGGGUCAUUGGAAACUGGGAGACUUGAGUGCAAAAGAGGAGAGUGGAAUUCCAUGUGUAGCGGUGAAAUGCGUAUAUAUAUGGAGGAACACCAGUGGCGAAGGCGGCUCUCUGGUCUGUAACUGACACUGAGGCUCGAAAGCGUGGGGAGCAAACAGGAUUAGAUAGCCUGGUAGUCCACGCCGUAAACAAUGAGUGCUAAGUGU
This 462-nucleotide ribosomal RNA is filed under the name uncultured bacterium. RNAcentral describes it as "bacterial SSU rRNA". It matches the Rfam family "Bacterial small subunit ribosomal RNA", at positions 365 to 823 of the family's 1533-position model. The record is from RNAcentral.